Molecule: ribosomal RNA, 268 nt
Filed under: uncultured Desulfuromonas sp.
Lineage: Bacteria; Pseudomonadati; Thermodesulfobacteriota; Desulfuromonadia; Desulfuromonadales; Desulfuromonadaceae
Description: partial 16S ribosomal RNA
Rfam family: Bacterial small subunit ribosomal RNA
Source: RNAcentral
CCACCAAUCUUAUUGGAUGUUGGGCACUCUAUCGAGACCGACGGCGACAAGCCGUAGGAAGUGGGGAUGAUGUCAAGUCAGCAUGGCCUUUAUAUCCAGGGCUACACACGCCUACAAUGACCGGUACAAAGGGAAGCAAGACCGCGAGGUGGAGCAAAUCCCAAAAAGCCGGCCUCAGUGCGGAUUGCAGUCUGCAACUCGACUGCAUGAAGUUGGAAUCGCUAGUAAUCGCAGAUCAGCACGCUGCGGUGAAUAAGUUCUCGGGUUU